RNAcentral lists this ribosomal RNA (253 nucleotides) under uncultured bacterium. Its description in RNAcentral is "partial 16S ribosomal RNA". It matches the Rfam family "Bacterial small subunit ribosomal RNA", at positions 524 to 776 of the family's 1533-position model. The record is from RNAcentral.
UACGUAGGGGGCAAGCGUUGUCCGAAUUCAUUGGGCGUAAAGAGCGUGUAGGCGGCCAGGUAGGUCGGUUGUGAAAACUGGAGGCUCAACCUUCAGAGGUCGACCGAAACCAUCUGGCUAGAGUCCGGGAGAGGAGAGUGGAAUUCCUGGUGUAGCGGUGAAAUGCGCAGAUAUCAGGAAGAACACCCGUGGCGAAAGCGGCUCUCUGGAACGGUACUGACGCUGAGACGCGAAAGCGUGGGGAGCAAACAGG